Molecule: ribosomal RNA, 412 nt
Filed under: uncultured microorganism
Description: bacterial SSU rRNA
Rfam family: Archaeal small subunit ribosomal RNA
Source: RNAcentral
GCGCAGCAGGCGAGAAACCUCCGCAAUGCGGGAAACCGCGACGGGGGACCCCGAGUGCCGUGGCAACGCCACGGCUUUUCCGGAGUGUAAAAAGCUCCGGGAAUAAGGGCUGGGCAAGGCCGGUGGCAGCCGCCGCGGUAAUACCGGCGGCCCGAGUGGUGGCCGCUAUUAUUGGGCCUAAAGCGUCCGUAGCCGGGCCCGUAAGUCCCUGGCGAAAUCCCACGGCUCAACCGUGGGGCUUGCUGGGGAUACUGCGGGUCUUGGGACCGGGAGAGGCGGGGGUACCCCUGGGGUAGGGGUGAAAUCCUAUAAUCCCAGGGGGACCGCCAGUGGCGAAGGCGCCCCGCUGGAACGGGUCCGACGGUGAGGGACGAAGGCCAGGGGAGCAAACCGGAUUAGAUACCCGCGUAGU